GGACUUGGGCCUGGCGUGUCAUCUCUUUAAUGAUAAUGAAAAGACUUUCAAUUCUCCUUCCACGGAGAAAAUAGAAAAGGCGCGUCUAAUUUUUUUUAUUUUAUUUUUCUCCUUUUUGAAGGAAAUCAACCUUUUUCCCAAGGGCUAAAUUCUUAAUAAGAAGCAAAGAUGCCGAAUCGAACCAGACCUAUGACAGCCCUUUUGGUGUUUACUGGACUUAAUGUCGUUCUAGUGUCAACCAUUACUCCUGUCUAUGAUUUCGUGUGCUUCCUUCCUUAUUGGGAAAGAAGGGUAUCUGGUUGGCCAUCCAUCUUAUUAUCUUGUCACUUAUUACAUUACAGAGAGAACGACGUCGUCAAGAACGUGAAGUUGCUUUAAUCGAGGGGUCCAGACCAAAAUAAAAGGAUAUAUGAGGUUAAAAGAAGGAUCAGAAGACAAAAAGAAGCUUUCUAUGAGUACCUACAUAUUUUCUCGUUUACAUUCUGUAUAUUUUGGUAUUGGAAUAUGUGUGGGAUAGCACGAGCAAUGAUAGGCAGGGGCAAGCCAGCUGGCCCCUGCCCGGCCCUUUUCAUUUAAAUUAUUUUUUUAUUAAAAAAGUCGGCUGGGGGACGGUAAAACGUCCCCCAAGUAUCAUUUCCCGGGAUAGCACAUAAAAGAUUUGCGAGAAAUCAUGGUUGAUCUCUCUCUUGGUCUCUAUCCAACAGUUCUCUUCAUGCUC
RNA transcript from Alnus glutinosa, 718 nucleotides. RefSeq lists it as uncharacterized. The transcript has 3 exons. Lineage: Eukaryota; Viridiplantae; Streptophyta; Magnoliopsida; Fagales; Betulaceae. The record is from RefSeq and is a predicted model, not a curated record.